AGUGAACGCUGGCGGUAGGCCUAACACAUGCAAGUCGAACGGCAGCACAGUAAGAGCUUGCUCUUACGGGUGGCGAGUGGCGGACGGGUGAGGAAUACAUCGGAAUCUACUUUUUCGUGGGGGAUAACGUGGGGAAACUUACGCUAAUACCGCAUACGACCUACGGGUGAAAGCAGGGGAUCUUCGGACCUUGCGCGAUUGAAUGAGCCGAUGUCGGAUUAGCUAGUUGGCGGGGUAAAGGCCCACCAAGGCGACGAUCCGUAGCUGGUCUGAGAGGAUGAUCCGCCACACUGGAACUGAGACACGGUCCAGACUCCGACGGGAGGCAGCAGUGGGGAAUAUUGGACAAUGGGCGCAAGCCUGAUCCAGCCAUACCGCGUGGGUGAAGAAGGCCUUCGGGUUGUAAAGCCCUUUUGUUGGGAAAGAAAAGCAGCAGGUUAAUACCCCGCUGUUCUGACGGUACCCAAAGAAUAAGCACCGGCUAACUUCGUG
Molecule: ribosomal RNA, 492 nt
Filed under: uncultured bacterium
Lineage: Bacteria
Description: partial 16S ribosomal RNA
Rfam family: Bacterial small subunit ribosomal RNA
Source: RNAcentral